CCUACGGGGGGCAGCAGUGGGGAAUAUUGCACAAUGGGGGAAACCCUGAUGCAGCGACGUCGCGUGAGUGAAGAAGUAUCUCGGUACGUAAAGCUCUAUCAGCAGGGAAGAAAAUGACGGUACCUGACUAAGAAGCCCCGGCUAAAUACGUGCCCGCAGCCGCGGGAAUACGUAGGGGGCAAGCGUUAUCCGGAUUUACUGGGUGUGAAGGGGGCGUAGACGGGAGGACAAGUCUGGAGUGAAAUCCCGGGGCUUAACCCCGGAACGGCAGUGGAAACCGUGCGGCUGGAGUGCAGGAGGGGUAAGCGGAAUUCGUAGUGUAGCGGUGAAAUGCGUAGAUAUUAGGAGGAACACCGGUGGCGAAGGCAGCUUACC
Molecule: ribosomal RNA, 375 nt
Filed under: uncultured bacterium
Lineage: Bacteria
Description: partial 16S ribosomal RNA
Rfam family: Bacterial small subunit ribosomal RNA
Source: RNAcentral